CUAAAGGCUCUUUUCAGAGCCACCCACAAAGUCAGAAAAGGGUUUG
Molecule: non-coding RNA, 46 nt
Organism: Chelonia mydas (Green sea turtle)
Lineage: Eukaryota; Metazoa; Chordata; Testudines; Cheloniidae
Source: Rfam